Transfer RNA from Felis catus (domestic cat), 73 nucleotides. It matches the Rfam family "tRNA". Rfam says of the family: Transfer RNA (tRNA) molecules are approximately 80 nucleotides in length. Their secondary structure includes four short double-helical elements and three loops (D, anti-codon, and T loops). Lineage: Eukaryota; Metazoa; Chordata; Mammalia; Carnivora; Felidae. The record is from Rfam.
GCUUGGCUGGCUCAGUUGCUGGAGCAUGCGACUCCUGAUCUCAGGGUUGUGAGUUCAAGCCCCACAUUAGGCA